UACGUAGGGUGCAGGCGUUAAUCGGAAUUACUGGGCGUAAAGCGUGCGCAGGCGGUUUGCUAAGACAGGUGUGAAAUCCCCGGGCUUAACCUGGGAACUGCGCUUGUUACUGGCAGGCUUGAGUGUGGCAGAGGGGGGUGGAAUUCCACGUGUAGCGGUGAAAUGCGUAGAUAUCUGGAGGAACACCGGUGGCGAAGGCGGCAUUCUGGACCGAUAUUGACGCUGAGGAGCGAAAGCCAGGGGAGCAAACGGG
This 253-nucleotide ribosomal RNA is filed under the name uncultured bacterium. RNAcentral's name for it is "partial 16S ribosomal RNA". It matches the Rfam family "Bacterial small subunit ribosomal RNA", at positions 524 to 776 of the family's 1533-position model. The record is from RNAcentral.